AGAAAGCAAAGGAACUUAGUGUGAUUUACCAGUAUAAAAACUCCCUAAAUCUCUGUUGAUGAAUCAACAAAGCAUUCUUCUUACACUAAACUACUAUAACUGUGCAAACAAUAUGGGAGUGAAGAAAAAUAAAUGUUACUAAACUUCUACAGAAACACUAAAGAAUGUUUUGCUUUCUUGUUCAAUUUUACAAACGUAAGUUCUCAAGCUAUACAAAAAUACCAUAUUGCAAUACAUUGCUUCAGUUCGUUUCUAUUUCGUUAUUUUUCCCAUAUCUACUUUAACAGUUUACAAUAUCAACGUAAGGGAAAAAACUUGCAACAUUUAGUAGAAAUGCCUUUUCUUUUCUUACAAAAAAACCCUUUUAGAACAAAACAAACGGGCAAAAGCAUUAAGCAUAUUGCCUAAAUUAAAAUAAAGCGCCCGCUCGUUGACGAAAGCUUCUUGAACUACGCUGUCGUGCAAUGACCGCAGUGAAAAUGCUCACCUGAGAAGUCCGGGUUCCUCCGUGAUCUGAGUGCGGAUCCCCAAGGUGCUUUAUACCAUACUGGGACGGCCCCCGCGUGUGUCACAACCGGUGAGCACGUGACUUUCCCAUCAUAUCUCUUUCGAGGCCCUAUGUUGGCGGACCCAAAGUGGAAAAAUAUUGUGAAAUACAUAACAACAGGAACAAGAAGCCUGUGAUUACCGUCUUGGACACGUUUUCAUGUUGCAUCAGUGUGACACCACAGAAAGCCUUUCAAAGCUGAGGGCUUUAGGUGAAAGGGGCUGUGGCAUCUCUUAACCAGGAGUAACCCCAGCCAGCUCAUCUGGCCUGUGGCCUGAACUUUGAGAUGGCAGGUCAGAGGUCGCUCAGCUGUUUGGCCCGAAGAUGAAGUAGUCAUCUGUGAAGGAGUCA
Molecule: long non-coding RNA, 898 nt
Organism: Clupea harengus (Atlantic herring)
Lineage: Eukaryota; Metazoa; Chordata; Actinopteri; Clupeiformes; Clupeidae
Exons: 3
Source: RefSeq, a predicted model, not a curated record